Molecule: ribosomal RNA, 247 nt
Filed under: uncultured bacterium
Lineage: Bacteria
Description: partial 16S ribosomal RNA
Rfam family: Bacterial small subunit ribosomal RNA
Source: RNAcentral
AGAUGGCGACCGGCGCACGGGUGAGUAACACGUAUCCAACCUACCGAUAACUCGGGGAUAGCCUUUCGAAAGAAAGAUUAAUACCCGAUGGUAUAAUCAGACCGCAUGGUUUGAUUAUUAAAGAAUUUCGGUUAUCGAUGGGGAUGCGUUCCAUUAGGCAGUUGGUGAGGUAACGGCUCACCAAACCUUCGAUGGAUAGGGGUUCUGAGAGGAAGGUCCCCCACAUUGGAACUGAGACACGGUCCAA